CUGUCAUCUGAGAUCUGCAAUUGAAUUAAUUCCUGCAAAAAAAAAAUUGAACUGAAUUGGGCAAAGGGGGGAAGCUGUUCUGUCAAAUACCUCAGUGCUGCUACUCCAGCCAUUUGAUUUCAAGCAUCACCUUAGAAAUUUGAAACAUCUAUUUUACAGUAAUUUGUAGAAACUUUGACUUCUGUUUUAGAGAUGAAUAUGGAGGACCACCAUUGAAACACGUCCCGGGCUUGUGUGGUGUCAUGUAUUAUCACUAAGGUCAUCAAAUGAUCCAUUUCAUGUCACAGCAGCCCUGUGUGGUAGGUGCUGUCAUGACCCUGAUUUACAGGUGAGAACACAGAGGCACUGAGAAUGACACAGAUGGGGGCCCAGCGAGGACACAGCCGAGUGGAAUUCGAACACAUCAGUCACUAUGUGGGUCUUAGCACAAAAAUCUGCAUCUAAUUUUCAAUCCCCAUUUAAUAUUUCUGCUAGCUUGAAAAAAAAAAAAGAGACUUUGUGUUAAUGUGAUAAAAAAUGGCUACUGUGACAUUCUGGGGAAUUUUUCUUUCUUUUUUUUUCCCCAUGUUUAACAGCUUUGGAACUUGACUUUCUCAGCACCUUGAAGGAAUCUGUGCCAAGCUGGUUUUGGAAUGAUCGGCUUCUGCCUCUGCUGAUGAAUCAGGCUAAUCACCAAGUGGGGGUAUAAUCUCACUUUUUUGAGUGGUUCACAGACUUUGCUUCCUAAUUUCUACCCUAAUU
This 741-nucleotide long non-coding RNA is filed under the name Marmota monax (woodchuck). Lineage: Eukaryota; Metazoa; Chordata; Mammalia; Rodentia; Sciuridae. The record is from RNAcentral.